UUGCACGCUGGCGGCAUGCUUUACACAUGCAAGUCGCACGGUAACAGGCCGCAAGGUGCUGACGAGUGGCGAACGGGUGAGUAAUGCAUCGGAACGUGCCCAGUCGUGGGGGAUAACUACUCGAAAGAGUAGCUAAUACCGCAUACGAUCUAUGGAUGAAAGCGGGGGACCGUAAGGCCUCGCGCGAUUGGAGCGGCCGAUGUCGGAUUAGGUAGUUGGUGGGGUAAAGGCUCACCAAGCCAACGAUCUGUAGCUGGUCUGAGAGGACAACCAGCCACACUGGGACUGAGACACGGCCCAGACUCCUACGGGAGGCAGCAGUGGGGAAUUUUGGACAAAGGGCGCAAGCCUGAUCCAGCAAUGCCGCGUGCAGGAAGAAGGCCUUCGGGUUGUAAACUGCUUUUGUACGGAACGAAACGGCUCUGGUUAAUACCCGGGGCUAAUGACGGUACCGUAAGAAUAAGCACCGGCUAACUACGUG
This 481-nucleotide ribosomal RNA is filed under the name uncultured bacterium. Its description in RNAcentral is "partial 16S ribosomal RNA". It matches the Rfam family "Bacterial small subunit ribosomal RNA", at positions 30 to 507 of the family's 1533-position model. The record is from RNAcentral.